RNAcentral lists this ribosomal RNA (253 nucleotides) under uncultured bacterium. RNAcentral's name for it is "partial 16S ribosomal RNA". It matches the Rfam family "Bacterial small subunit ribosomal RNA", at positions 524 to 776 of the family's 1533-position model. The record is from RNAcentral.
UACGUAGGGGGCUAGCGUUGUUCGGAAUUACUGGGCGUAAAGGGCGCGUAGGCGGGCUGGCAAGUCGGUUGUGAAAUCCCUCGGCUCAACCGAGGAACGUCGAUCGAUACUGCUGUUCUUGAGGAUUGCAGAGGAGACUGGAAUUCCCGGUGUAGCGGUGAAAUGUGUAGAGAUCGGGAGGAACACCGGUGGCGAAGGCGGGUCUCUGGGCAAUUCCUGACGCUGAGGCGCGAAAGCGUGGGGAGCAAACGGG